This 416-nucleotide unclassified non-coding RNA is filed under the name soil metagenome. RNAcentral's name for it is "partial contains 5.8S ribosomal RNA, internal transcribed spacer 2, and large subunit ribosomal RNA". The stretch from base 1 to 120 matches the Rfam family "5.8S ribosomal RNA", at positions 35 to 154 of the family's 154-position model. The record is from RNAcentral.
GAUGAAGAACGUAGCGAAAUGCGAUAAGUAAUGUGAAUUGCAGAAUUCAGUGAAUCAUCGAAUCUUUGAACGCACCUUGCACUCCUUGGUAUUCCGAGGAGUACGCCUGUUCGAGUGUUAUGAAGCUCUCAAAACGCAAUUGGCUUAAAACCUGAUUGUUGUUUUGGAUUUGAACUUUGCCGUGUUAUAACGGCUGGUUUUAAAAGUAUUAGCUGGUACUAGAACGAAUUGGUUCUACUCAACGCGAUAAUUAUCUGAUCGUUGAGGACAUUCCUUUCACGAGGAAUGGCCAUAGUAAAUUCAAUGGACUGCUUCUAAUCUGGCUUUAAUUCUUUAUUGGAUUAACCACUUUUCAAAUCUGACCUCGAAUCAGGUGGGACUACCCGCUGAACUUAAGCAUAUCAAUAAGCGGAGGA